AUGUCAAACAGGACACAGGGGAGGUACAGUGUCACAGCACCCUGUUACACAUGUACAGCAGGACACACGGGAGGUACAAUGUCACAGCAGUGUUACACAGGUACAGCAGGACACACGGAGGUACAAUGUCACAGCAGUGUUACACAGGUACAGCAGGACACACGGGAGGUACAAUGUCACAGCAGUGUUACACAGGUACAACAGGACACACGGAGGUACAUCACAGCAGUGUUACGUUGUGUACAGCAGGACAGAGGGGAAGUACAACGUGCCAGCACCGUUACACAAUACACACCGAGACGCGUGCGCACAGGUCAGGUGUGGGAAGCGUGCAUGGGAGGAGGCCUCCAGCCCCCAAUGGCGUCCGCUCCCGGGGACCGGGGGAGAGCGGUGCUUGGCAGCGUGGACAAGGAGCAGCCUGUGCGUCUCCCGCCGCGGAUCUCUGAAGCAAUGCCCGGUGUGGGGGACCCCCGUGGGGGGGUGUACGUGCAACCUGGACAGUUCAUUCUCUGUGUGGCUAACGGCAGCGGUAACGGCAGUGCCCCGUGGGCCGGAGAGAGGGAAGCUCCCUGUGUGUGGAGUUUUAAACUCUCAGGAGCUCCGGUAAUCCGUGUAAAGCCCAGGCCCCAAGCUCCGCCUCCCUGGGCGUGCGCCAGAGGAGAGCCCUGGCUGGAAAGCAGAGGUGUGAGGCCCUGUCAGCAACCCACAGAACCUUCGACUGAAGUCGACAACCUGCCCCCAGCCCUGUGAGCUUCCUGCUCAGGGCCCCCGGAGACACAGCCGGCACCGCCCCUCCCCUUCCAUUUUACUUCUCAUUCACAAACAAGGUUGUGAAAUCCCGAGUGCGUCUCUGGCUCCAUGAGCGUUCACACUAUUGUAUAGCUAUUACACUUUUCCUGGCUUUCCCCGUGCCUCAGUGUCUCCCUGCGCGGACUCAGUUUCCCCAAGAAUGCAGCUACCGCCUGGCCCCGGCCUGUCCCAGCACUGGCCCAAACACCAGGCCCUGAGCCACCUGCGGAAGCUCCCCUGCCACGCUGCUCCUCCCCUUCAGCAGUCCCAGGUUCAAGGCCACAGGGGGCAGGGGUCACACCUGCGCCCUAUGCCCUAUGCCCCGCACGACAAUGGCUCAGGUCCUCCUGUGUCACCUGUGCUGGCUUUGCUGACUCCUCUGAAGGAAAAGUCCUGUUUAGCAAUGCGGGGGGGGGGGGGAAGGGGAAAGGGAGGGGAAGGGGAAGGGGAAGGUAAACUGAACCAUCUCACAAGGCUCCUCCUCUGGGGUGAGCUCACUCUCCCCCUCAUGGCCUGAUG
Molecule: long non-coding RNA, 1308 nt
Filed under: Oryctolagus cuniculus (rabbit)
Lineage: Eukaryota; Metazoa; Chordata; Mammalia; Lagomorpha; Leporidae
Description: lncRNA (ENSOCUG00000037308.1)
Source: RNAcentral